This 451-nucleotide ribosomal RNA is filed under the name uncultured bacterium. Its description in RNAcentral is "partial 16S ribosomal RNA". It matches the Rfam family "Bacterial small subunit ribosomal RNA", at positions 28 to 507 of the family's 1533-position model. The record is from RNAcentral.
GAUGAACGCUGGCGGCGUGCCUAACACAUGCAAGUCGAGCGGCAGCGAGGGGUGCUUGCACCCUGUCGGCGAGCGGCGGACGGCUGAGUAACGCGUGGGAACGUGCCCCAAAGUGAGGAAUAACUGCCCGAAAGGGUAGCUAAUACCGCAUAUUUUUCUCGGAUCAAAGGAUUUAUCCGCUUUGGGAGCGGCUCGCGUCGGUUUAGGUAGUUGGUGAGGUAAUUGCUCACCAAGCCGACGAUCCGUAGCUGGUCUGAGAGGAUGACCAGCCAGACUGGAACUGAGACACGGUCCAGACUCCUACGGGAGGCAGCAGUGAGGAAUCUUGCACAAUGGGCGAAAGCCUGAUGGAGCAACGCCGCGUGCAGGACGAAGGCCUUCGGGUUGUAAACUGCUUUUAUAAGUGAGGAAUAUGACGGUAACUUAUGAAUAAGGAUCGGCUAACUACGUG